Molecule: ribosomal RNA, 253 nt
Filed under: uncultured bacterium
Lineage: Bacteria
Description: partial 16S ribosomal RNA
Rfam family: Bacterial small subunit ribosomal RNA
Source: RNAcentral
GACGGAGGGUGCAGGCGUUGUUCGGAAUUACUGGGCGUAAAGCGCGUGUAGGCGGCUUGCUAAGUCUGAUGUGAAAGCCCGGGGCUCACCCCCGGAAGUGCAUUGGAAACUGGCGAGCUCGAGUCCCGGAGAGGAGGGUGGAAUUCCUGGUGUAGCGGUGAAAUGCGUAGAUAUCAGGAGGAACACCGGUGGCGAAGGCGGCCCUCUGGACGGUGACUGACGCUGAGACGCGAAAGCGUGGGGAGCAAACAGG